GCUAGCUUUUUGACGAGAAACAAUCACAGAGACUUAAACCUCUCCAAAUGCAGGAGAAUUUCCUCUGGUUUUCGUUCUUCAUGGACUGGUUCCAGCAGCGUCUCUUCGCUUUCUUCCAGAAACUUGUUCGCUAGAGAGAUAUGGGGCUGGGUGAAUUGCAAGAGCGUUACUUUCAAAAGAGACGUUCGUGGCGUGGUAAAGGCGGAAAUGUUUGGGCAGUUAACAAGCGGCCUUGAAGCGGCUUGGAGCAAGCUCAAAGGAGAAGAGAUUUUGACCAAGGACAAUAUUGCGGAGCCUAUGAGGGAUAUCAGGAGAGCUCUUCUGGAAGCAGAUGUGAGUCUUCCUGUUGUUAGAAGGUUUGUGCAAUCAGUAAGCGACCAAGCUGUGGGUGUUGGCCUCAUACGAGGAGUGAAACCUGAUCAGCAGUUGGUCAAGAUUGUACAUGAUGAGCUUGUAAAAUUGAUGGGUGGGGAGGUGUCUGAACUGGUUUUUGCAAAAUCUGGCCCCACUGUUAUAUUACUGGCUGGUCUACAAGGAGUUGGAAAGACAACUGUUUGUGCAAAGUUAGCUAAUUAUCUCAAGAAACAGGGGAAGUCUUGCUUGCUUGUUGCUGGAGAUGUGUAC
RNAcentral lists this unclassified non-coding RNA (624 nucleotides) under Hevea brasiliensis (rubber tree). The record is from RNAcentral. Lineage: Eukaryota; Viridiplantae; Streptophyta; Magnoliopsida; Malpighiales; Euphorbiaceae.